RNAcentral lists this ribosomal RNA (305 nucleotides) under uncultured bacterium. RNAcentral describes it as "bacterial SSU rRNA". It matches the Rfam family "Bacterial small subunit ribosomal RNA", at positions 338 to 640 of the family's 1533-position model. The record is from RNAcentral.
CCUACGGGGGGCAGCAGUGAGGAAUAUUGGUCAAUGGGCGGGAGCCUGAACCAGCCAAGUCGCGUGAGGGAAGACGGUCCUAUGGAUUGUAAACCUCUUUAGGCGGGGAGCAAUGCCGGGCACGCGUGUCCGGAGGGAGAGUACCCGCAGAAUAAGCAUCGGCUAACUCCGUGCCAGCAGCCGCGGUAAUACGGAGGAUGCGAGCGUUAUCCGGAUUUAUUGGGUUUAAAGGGUGCGUAGGCGGGAUGCCAAGUCAGCGGUCAAAUACGUGGGCUCAACCUGCGUCCGCCGUUGAAACUGGCGUU